CCAUAGAGCAGACAACAGCAGAAGAUCACCAACAGGUCUUCAAUGCAACGAGAAAUUCUCGCACCCGGAGGCGUCCUUCAGCUGUCCCCUAAACAAAUAUAUACUGGUUCAGUGAUAAUGAACCCCAUACUAAACUCCAAAUUGUACACAAGAAACUAAAAGUUAAAAUAAUACAAGACUAACAAAGGCCAGAGGCUCCUGAUUUGGGACAGGCGCAAAAA
RNAcentral lists this long non-coding RNA (221 nucleotides) under Mytilus galloprovincialis (Mediterranean mussel). The record is from RNAcentral. Lineage: Eukaryota; Metazoa; Mollusca; Bivalvia; Mytilida; Mytilidae.